RNAcentral lists this long non-coding RNA (1257 nucleotides) under Apteryx rowi (Okarito brown kiwi). RNAcentral's name for it is "lncRNA (ENSARWG00000012842.1)". The record is from RNAcentral. Lineage: Eukaryota; Metazoa; Chordata; Aves; Apterygiformes; Apterygidae.
CCAGGUCAUUGAUGAAGAWGUUGAACAAGACUGGACCCAGUMCUGACCCCUGGGGGACACCGCUAGCUACAGGCCUCCAACUAGACUCUGUGCCACUGAUCACAACUCUCUGAGCUCUGCCAUUCAGCCAGUUCUCAGUCCACCUCACUGUCCACUCAUCUAGCCCACACUUCCUGAGUUUGUCUAUGAGGAUGUUAUGGGAGACAGUGUCGAAAGCCUUGCUGAAGUCAAGGUAGACAACAUCCACUGCUCUCCCCUCAUCUACCCAGCCAGUCAUUCCAUCAGAGAAGGCUAUCAGAUUGGUUAGGCAUGAUUUCCCCUUGGUGAAGCCAUGCUGACUACUCCUGAUCACCUUCUUUUCCUCCACAUACGUGCUACAGCUCCAACCUGAAAAGCAAACGGUGCUGUUCCCAUCAUCUGCUUUAGACAUGUAACUUUAAGCACUUUAAAGUAGGAAGCAGGUCUCUCCCUAUGCUGGGAUUCACCCAGAAGGUGGAGUGUCACAUCUGGUACUGCCUGAGUCGUCUUCUGCAGAGGCCUCUUCCGUCCUCGCCAUUUUAUCUAGGCUGGGACUUACCCGCUGAAAGAGAGGGAGAAGAGCUGAAAACUUCAUCUUAGUUUGGAGAGGCAGGACGUUCAGGAGAGAUUCAGGCAAGCAUCCCAGCUUUCCUGACAUCCAAAUCAGACCUUUGGCAUUUUUGAAUUUCUUCCAUCAUUAGUUUGUGGUCUCAUAAAAACCUACUGAAAUUCAUGGGAGUCUCAAGCGUUCCCUGAAGCCUGGACCUUUCUUGCUAAUGUAUUGUUUGUUUUUUAAUCUCAGAUGUCAGUUUAAGCAGUAAAAAAUACCUCAAAUGAAAAACCCAAACAAACAAACAAACAAUGAUUUCGCUUUCCUUUUAGGCAAUUGUUUGGAAAACGGUGUGAAUGUUGGUGAAAAAUGAGGGGUGGAGGGGUGCACCACUGAAGAGCCAGUUCCCGAUGAGGAGUCAUAUGCUCUCCCAUUAAGAGACUGCAAGCUAUGCAGUUGAGGAAGGCUUAAAAUUACUGGUAUGCUGUAGUCAUUGCAUUGUAUAGUAGCUGUGCUAUAUGUUACAUGAUAAAUGUAUUUCCAUAGGCUCAUCACUUUGAAAAUAGGAACAGAGCUGGUUAUGUUUUUUUUUCAGAAUGUGAAAAUUUGGUCUUUUUUAUUGUCCAUUUCAAAUUUGUAUUUUGAAAACUGUGUUUGAGAAGACAGUGAAUGAUGUGAAUGCUUUUUUC